Trichoderma asperellum CBS 433.97 is the source of this 74-nucleotide non-coding RNA. NCBI's taxonomy places the organism in Eukaryota, Fungi, Ascomycota, Sordariomycetes, Hypocreales, Hypocreaceae. The record is from the annotation of a RefSeq genome assembly.
GAGGUUGUGGGGCGCAACGGUCAAGCGCAGUCUUCCAGAGAAAAAGAUCGCAGGUUCGAAUCCUGCCAGCCUCU